This is a small nuclear RNA of Dicentrarchus labrax (European seabass), 112 nucleotides long. Its record names the gene U5. It matches the Rfam family "U5 spliceosomal RNA". Rfam says of the family: U5 RNA is a component of both types of known spliceosome. The precise function of this molecule is unknown, though it is known that the 5' loop is required for splice site selection and p220 binding, and that both the 3' stem-loop and the Sm site are important for Sm protein binding and cap methylation. The record is from Ensembl. NCBI's taxonomy places the organism in Eukaryota, Metazoa, Chordata, Actinopteri, Moronidae.
UUUCUCGGGUGUCUCUUCAUAAUGUACAAGUCUUUUGCCUUUUAUUAAAGACCUCUAUGGAGAGGACCACCAAUAGGUUGAACCUAGCUUCCUGCUGCCCUGUUCACAGCAG